Molecule: long non-coding RNA, 305 nt
Organism: Thalassophryne amazonica
Lineage: Eukaryota; Metazoa; Chordata; Actinopteri; Batrachoidiformes; Batrachoididae
Exons: 3
Source: RefSeq, a predicted model, not a curated record
UGCUCUCUGCAGCUAAAAGACAUAAAAGUGUUCGUAAAAACUCCCGGAGGAUUUAUUCCGCCUUCCAGCAGCAGCAGCCCGGUUUCUCUGACGAUGAAGAUAAAGAGGAUGAGCGAGUGGACAGCAACGAUCCUGAGGAGAUGUUUCAGAACAUUCAGUACCAGAAAGAGAUCAUUGCCAAUAUUCGAACCAGGCCCUGGCCGAUGAGACGCAAGCUCAAAGUCUUAAAACAUGCUAGAGAGAUUGUGCUGAAGUACGAGGGCCAGCUGACCAGAACCAGAGGAUACCAGACUGCUGGAGCAGAU